GACGAACGCUGGCGGCGUGCUUAACACAUGCAAGUCGAACGGUGAGGAGGAGCUUGCUCCUCCGAUCAGUGGCGAACGGGUGAGUAACACGUGAGUAACCUGCCCAGACCCUGGGAUAACAGUUGGAAACAGCUGCUAAUACCGGAUACGAGACGGAGAGGCAUCUCUACCGUCUGGAAAGAUUUAUCGGUCUGGGAUGGACUCGCGGCCUAUCAGCUUGUUGGUGAGGUAAAGGCUCACCAAGGCGACGACGGGUAGCCGGCCUGAGAGGGCGACCGGCCACACUGGGACUGAGACACGGCCCAGACUCCUACGGGAGGCAGCAGU
Molecule: ribosomal RNA, 327 nt
Filed under: uncultured bacterium
Lineage: Bacteria
Description: bacterial SSU rRNA
Rfam family: Bacterial small subunit ribosomal RNA
Source: RNAcentral